GUUAGGUAUUCUUUUACCUUCUCUGAAAAUCUAACGCUGCCUCUUGGUUUGCUUACGGCCCAUACUGUUCGUAGAGACGAGUGGGGCGAAGUAUCCCCGGGAGAAGUGAUUGGUGUACUGGAAUCUAACGAACAGCUCGAACACUCAAUACCGGCGGUAUCUAUCGACGAGAACCUAAGGGCCCAUUCCCUUUUGAUUGCAUCAUACCGGCUUAACCUGCUGACUGUAUGCUCUCCAACGUCCAGGUGCAGCUCUAGUUGCGAAAACGUUUCGAACACUUCAACACAUCCAAGCGCAGAGCAUUCAAACAAUGGCGUUGUACUCUCUGUUUCCUUGCUGCCCUUUGAACGACGCUUGACCACACGCUUUUCAGGAGGAUCAUAAAACCCUUGAGAUUCUAUGGUUUGAAGGGACGUUUGACCUUGGUGCUUGAUAUAAAUUACGUCAUAUGGAAUGCACUUCCCUUUACCGAUGCCAUAACAUUUCCAUACUCUCAGACCGGUAUCUCCAUAUUCGAAGUUGUGGAAGCUACUAAAAUGCUCAAUCUUAUUUAUACAGAGAGUGUUCUUUGAUUCGUCGACUAUGCUCACUGCAGCUGUUGUUUCCUUUCACUGGGUGUUGCGUCAAUGCAUCUCGCAUGUCCACGGCAGUUAGAAUAUCGUGCCCUUCGUUGCAGUAAGCACGAAUAGAGGACUUCAUUGGACAGAGGAUACGAUCGCAAAUGUCUUUACCAGACUGCGGCUCCGAGUAGUGAUAACUAUGAACUUCAACCCCAACUUCUUUUGCGACAUCUCUCACAGCGGUUACUAGAGAGCUGUUGUGAUAGCAACCGGCUUCAUCCGACCUUAGAAGAGAAUGCAGAUGCAAUUCAAAGUUUCAACAGGACAUUAAGCGCGAAACAUGGCUUUAGUUUUCGAGUUUAGUUCGCAACAACGAAUCAAAGAAGAGUAUCGAUAGAUGCCGACCGCUGAAGUUUGGAGUUAUUUGCUGGAGUUAUCAUAAAGUUCGUCAGUUUGGGAAGCGAGGAAUAUCUGAAAUUUCACAUAAACCCAAGAUGCGACGAAGAUGCAAAAUAUGUCAUUAUACAGAUACAAGAAAAAUAUUAUACAGAA
Molecule: non-coding RNA, 1112 nt
Organism: Pocillopora verrucosa
Lineage: Eukaryota; Metazoa; Cnidaria; Anthozoa; Scleractinia; Pocilloporidae
Source: RefSeq, a predicted model, not a curated record